GAUGAACGCUGGCGGCGUGCCUAAUACAUGCAAGUCGAGCGAACAGACGAGGAGCUUGCUCCUCUGACGUUAGCGGCGGACGGGUGAGUAACACGUGGAUAACCUACCUAUAAGACUGGGAUAACUUCGGGAAACCGGAGCUAAUACCGGAUAAUAUAUUGAACCGCAUGGUUCAAUAGUGAAAGACGGUUUUGCUGUCACUUAUAGAUGGAUCCGCGCCGCAUUAGCUAGUUGGUAAGGUAACGGCUUACCAAGGCAACGAUGCGUAGCCGACCUGAGAGGGGGAUCGGCCACACUGGAACGGGAACACGGUCCAGACUCCUACGGGAGGCAGCAGUAGGGAAUCUUCCGCAAUGGGCGAAAGCCUGACGGAGCAACGCCGCGUGAGUGAUGAAGGUCUUCGGAUCGUAAAACUCUGUUAUUAGGGAAGAACAAAUGUGUAAGUAACUAUGCACGUCUUGACGGUACCUAAUCAGAAAGCCACGGCUAACUACGUG
RNAcentral lists this ribosomal RNA (497 nucleotides) under uncultured bacterium. RNAcentral's name for it is "partial 16S ribosomal RNA". It matches the Rfam family "Bacterial small subunit ribosomal RNA", at positions 28 to 507 of the family's 1533-position model. The record is from RNAcentral.